AGCGAACGCUGGCGGCGUGCUUAACACAUGCAAGUCGAACGUGAAAUGUAGCAAUACAGAGUAAAGUGGCGUACGGGUGAGUAACACGUGGGUAAUCUACCAAAGAGCCUGGAAUAACCGACCGAAAGGUUGGCUAAUACUGGAUAGUUCAAAUGAAAUAUAAUGUUUCGAUUGGGAAAGGGAGCGAGCAGUCGCCUUCACUUUUUGAUGAGCCCGCGUCUGAUUAGCUAGUUGGUAGGGUAAUGGCCUACCAAGGCGACGAUCAGUAGCUGGUCUGAGAGGAUGAUCAGCCACACUGGAACUGAAACACGGUCCAGACUCCUACGGGAGGCAGCAGUGGGGAAUCUUGCGCAAUGGACGAAAGUCUGACGCAGCCACGCCGCGUGAGUGAAGAAGGCCUUCGGGUUGUAAAGCUCUGUCGGAAGGGACAAAAACGUUUAGGGUUAAUAGCCUUAGAUCUUGAUGGUACCUUCAAAGGAAGCACCGGCUAACUUCGUGCCAGCAGCCGCCGUAA
Molecule: ribosomal RNA, 514 nt
Filed under: uncultured bacterium
Lineage: Bacteria
Description: partial 16S ribosomal RNA
Rfam family: Bacterial small subunit ribosomal RNA
Source: RNAcentral